This 205-nucleotide ribosomal RNA is filed under the name uncultured bacterium. RNAcentral describes it as "partial 16S ribosomal RNA". It matches the Rfam family "Bacterial small subunit ribosomal RNA", at positions 568 to 774 of the family's 1533-position model. The record is from RNAcentral.
CACGUAGGCGGCUCUUUAAGUCAGGGUGAAAUCCUGGAGCUCAACUCCAGAACUGCCUUUGAUACUGAGGAGCUUGAGUCCGGGAGAGGUGAGUGGAACUGCGAGUGUAGAGGUGAAAUUCGUAGAUAUUCGCAAGAACACCAGUGGCGAAGGCGGCUCACUGGCCCGGUACUGACGCUGAGGUGCGAAAGCGUGGGAGCAAACA